RNAcentral lists this ribosomal RNA (116 nucleotides) under uncultured bacterium. RNAcentral describes it as "partial 16S ribosomal RNA". It matches the Rfam family "Bacterial small subunit ribosomal RNA", at positions 1358 to 1482 of the family's 1533-position model. The record is from RNAcentral.
UACGGUGAAUACGUUCCCGGACCUUGUACACACCGCCCGUCAAGCCAUGAAAGCUGGGUGUACCUAAAGUCGGUAACCGCAAGGAGCCGCCUAGGGUAAAACUAGUAACUGGGGCU